GAUGAACGCUGGCGGCGUGCCUAAUACAUGCAAGUCGAGCGAACGGACGAGAAGCUUGCUUCUCUGAUGUUAGCGGCGGACGGGUGAGUAACACGUGGAUAACCUACCUAUAAGACUGGGAUAACUUCGGGAAACCGGAGCUAAUACCGGAUAAUAUUUUGAACCGCAUGGUUCAAAAGUGAAAGACGGUCUUGCUGUCACUUAUAGAUGGUUCCGCGCUGCAUUAGCUAGUUGGUAAGGUAACGGCUUACCACGGCAACGAUGCAUAGCCGACCUGAGAGGGUGAUAGGCCACACGGGAACUGGGACACGGUCAAGACUACUACGGGAGGCAGCAGUAGGGAAUCUUCCGCAAUGGGCGAAAGCCUGACGGAGCAACGCCGCGUGAGUGAUGAAGGUCUUCGGAUCGUAAAACUCUGUUAUUAGGGAAGAACAUAUGUGUAAGUAACUGUGCACAUCUUGACGGUACCUAAUCAGAAAGCCACGGCUAACUACGUG
This 497-nucleotide ribosomal RNA is filed under the name uncultured bacterium. Its description in RNAcentral is "partial 16S ribosomal RNA". It matches the Rfam family "Bacterial small subunit ribosomal RNA", at positions 28 to 507 of the family's 1533-position model. The record is from RNAcentral.